RNAcentral lists this unclassified non-coding RNA (236 nucleotides) under Hevea brasiliensis (rubber tree). Lineage: Eukaryota; Viridiplantae; Streptophyta; Magnoliopsida; Malpighiales; Euphorbiaceae. The record is from RNAcentral.
UAUUAUGGCAGCAAUGGGAAGAAUGGUGAUGACCCUGAUGCUCCUUAGUGUCCGAAUUUACAUUAAUGGCAACAUGGCCAUUGCCAUUGAUGUGAUGAGAAUGGGCAUCCCCAUUUUGUGAGUUUGAAUUCCUUGCCAUUUGCAUCAAUCCAAUCCCCUCAGAAUGAGCAGAAUCUUCAAUAUACUCCACAUCUUCAUUGUAGCCCAAUAUCAAGAAAUCUGAACAAUUCUUUCUG